GGAUACAGUCAAGACUAGGAGCAACAAAAGUUUUGAACCUCUUCUUGAAAGACUUGAGACUAGUAGAAGGACAAGAAGAAAUAGAUUAUCUAGAGAACCUUCUCUGGAGAAAAUUUCACAGGCCUCAAAAUCUUAUCAGGGAAGCAUGGACAACAAUGGUGGAUUGCGUACUUUGACAAAUUAUGCAAUAGUUGUUGGCCCUCACCAUUUUAACAGCAUUGUAAAGUUGAGGGUCAAUGCCACAAGUAUGGAGAUGAAG
RNAcentral lists this long non-coding RNA (259 nucleotides) under Vigna radiata. Its description in RNAcentral is "long non-coding RNA (VRAD_LNC002935)". Lineage: Eukaryota; Viridiplantae; Streptophyta; Magnoliopsida; Fabales; Fabaceae. The record is from RNAcentral.